UACAGAGGGGGCAAGCGUUAUUCGGAAUUAUUGGGCGUAAAGGGCGCGUAGGUGGCUUGGCAAGUGGAUGGUGAAAUCCCUCGGCUUAACCGAGGAACUGCCGUCCAAACUGCUUGGCUUGAGACCGGGAGAGGUGAGUGGAAUUCCCAGUGUAGUGGUGAAAUGCGUAGAUAUCGGGAGGAACACCAGUGGCGAAAGCGGCCGGCUGGGCCUGUCCUGACGCUGAGACGCGAAAGCGUGGGGAGCGAACAGG
Molecule: ribosomal RNA, 253 nt
Filed under: uncultured bacterium
Lineage: Bacteria
Description: partial 16S ribosomal RNA
Rfam family: Bacterial small subunit ribosomal RNA
Source: RNAcentral